AGUUCAGCGUGUACGCGAGUCAUUGGGUGUCAAAACCUAGAGGCGUAAUGAAAGUGAAGGGAACUUCUCGUUUCUGAGGGAGGAUGAGCCGGUUACCCGCAAGGGGCCGCUCCGCACUCCCGGGGCGUCUCUUUCUCAUUGCGAGUGGAGGCGCACCCAGAGCGUACACGCUGAUACCCGAAAGAUGGUGAACUAUGCCUGGCCAGGACGAAGCCAGGGGAAACCCUGGUGGAGGUCCGCAGCGAUUCUGACGUGCAAAUCGAUCGUCGGAGCUGGGUAUAGGGGCGAAAGACCAAUCGAACCAUCUAGUAGCUGGUUCCCUCCGAAGUUUCCCUCAG
Molecule: ribosomal RNA, 338 nt
Filed under: Wallabicoris sp. WCW-2003
Lineage: Eukaryota; Metazoa; Arthropoda; Insecta; Hemiptera; Miridae
Description: eukaryotic LSU rRNA
Rfam family: Eukaryotic large subunit ribosomal RNA
Source: RNAcentral